UACCUAUGAAGCCAAUAUCUGUAGAAACAAAGGGAAAGAAGCAAGAAUGGGAAGAGAAAGGAGUCAAAUGCAGAUUCAGGCCCAGUGACAGUCAAGGGCCAGCACCCUGGGAGCUCUGGAGCUACAAGGACCCUUCAGAACCAUCCCAAGUUGAGCACAAUCUGCUGCUACGUGGGCAGCCUGUCUUGAGAAGCUCAAUUCCAAACAUCGUAAGUAACUCGUUCACAAGACUCUAUUCCUUGAUCACUUCAAACAAGGUAUUAUUUGUAACCCACAACUCCAUCCCUUCCCAACUUGAGUGGAUGGGGCAACAAUCACGACAGACUCUGCUAAGUUUCCACAAAUCAUUGGUUUAUUAGAAAGUUCCUUUCCCUAAUUUUACAGCAUAUAUAUCUCUAUCAUAUGUGAUAAAGUUAAAUACAAUCUGUAAUGUUUGUAA
Molecule: long non-coding RNA, 439 nt
Organism: Felis catus (domestic cat)
Lineage: Eukaryota; Metazoa; Chordata; Mammalia; Carnivora; Felidae
Exons: 2
Source: RefSeq, a predicted model, not a curated record